This 329-nucleotide unclassified non-coding RNA is filed under the name plant metagenome. RNAcentral describes it as "partial contains 5.8S ribosomal RNA, internal transcribed spacer 2, and large subunit ribosomal RNA". The stretch from base 1 to 105 matches the Rfam family "5.8S ribosomal RNA", at positions 50 to 154 of the family's 154-position model. The record is from RNAcentral.
GAAAUGCGAUAAGUAAUGUGAAUUGCAGAAUUCAGUGAAUCAUCGAAUCUUUGAACGCACAUUGCGCCCGUCAGCAUUCUGGCGGGCAUGCCUGUUCGAGCGUCAUUUCAACCCUCAGGACCCCCCUUUCGCGGGGAGGGACCUGGCGUUGGGGAUCGGCCCGCCCCCCGCGGCGGCGCCAUCCCCGAAAUCUAGUGGCGGUCUCGCUGCAGCCUCCCCUGCGUAGUAGUUACAACCUCGCAUCGGAGCGCGGCGCGGCCACGCCAUAAAACCCCCGACUUUCUGAACGUUGACCUCGGAUCAGGUAGGAAUACCCGCUGAACUUAAGC